UGGAGAUGUGCGCAAAAUGUGGCCACACAUUUCGCCUGCAAAGGACUUGUCUCUGGUGCCAAAGUUUGAAGUGUGAAAGGUGAUCUUCACACUGCAGGCCUGUUACUACAGCUAAUACAAAGGUUGACUUAGAAUAUCAACGUUUUUACAAAUCUGUCAGGCACUUAUCAGUCUGUUUUUAAUCCUGUGAAGUAAAAAAAAAAAAUUACUGAUUGAGCACAGCACACUACUUCUACUAGUUAGUGUUCAAUACUGAGAGUUUUAACGAAUCCAUUCAAAUACUUGGACUAGUUCCACUUUUCUAACUUGUGUUACUCUUUUUGUUGAAUUAAUCUUUUAUAAUCUCUUUGUUAUUCCUUCGGGCAACUCUUCUAAUUGUGGAUUACCGAGAUUCUCUGACUGUACCUCAUAAUCUCAAGUCCGAGCAGAUGUAACAGUUGGUAGUAAAGCCCCUUUGGAGAGUCUGAGAACGGUUCAGGAGGAACACAUGAAUAAGAGCUGUGGAUUUGGAUGAAUAGAAUUGAAUAUAUUGUGUAUUCAAAGCAACUUUCCAUUCUCAUGACAUACAGCGGUACUACAAAAUGCUUCUCAUCUGCCAGUCAUCAGCAUUUUGAAGUAUUUUGGUUUGGUGGGAAUGCAGAGACUUGCAUUGUCUCUUCAGAGUAUUUUGUAAGAACAUGCUGUUUGAAAACGAGGCACAUAAACUGCUCAAAAGACUCUAAGUGUGGGAAAUGAUACUGUAUGUACAAUCAGGAUAGCGAUUAUAAUUACAAUGGAAAGAGCAUUGUAUGUAUUUUAAAGCUAUUGAUACUACUUUGAUAAUGAUGUAAAAUGUAAAAAGGCUGAACAGGAACUAUAGGUAUGUAAAGUUAUACUGUGUAUAGAGGAGUUUGCUCCAGGGGGAGGGACGGGCAUGGGGUUCAUUCUGUUCAUGGCAAAAAUUGUUUAAAACAGAAUAUUGAUGAUUCUUGUCUGUGAUGUAGACAACGUCAAUGUUUUUUUUCUUUUUGAUAAAAUGAAAAAUAUGAAAA
Molecule: long non-coding RNA, 1031 nt
Organism: Amphiprion ocellaris (clown anemonefish)
Lineage: Eukaryota; Metazoa; Chordata; Actinopteri; Pomacentridae
Source: Ensembl